GUCUCCUCGACAAUUUAUUUUGUUUAAAUUGGGCGCCAAUAUGUUACGAACUGCUUUUUUCGGUGGCAGUGCCGCUAGCUCAGUCUUUUCUCAGGGCAGAGUACCCCUAAUGCCACAGCUCGCAACAUAAAUAUCGAUAAAUUCACGGUCUCACAUUACUAAACUAUCGGUCAUCACUAAUGACAAAAACGUAAGCAAACCAAAAAAAACUACAAAUAAUGACGGAAAAAUGGAUUACCUUUGGUGGCUAUCGGUGACCUAGCCAAGCGCUCCCACCCAACCAUGGAUGCCCUCGAGGUGCUGCAGGGCACAACCCAUUCUCAGUCGGCAGGAGCCCCCUCCUCGCGACUACGGCGGUUCCAUCUCCCCCACUGGGAAAGUUUACUCACACAUUGUGGGGAUUACAAAGGUUUAAUAAAUAUCCUUUUAAGACCAAAACCUGGCCGCCGUCUUCAAUACUUACGCGGUCAAAGCAGAGGAUUGGUUUUGCUGGAAAAGGGUAGAUGCGCCGCGGAAACUAUGCUCUACCAGUCAUGUAUUGGUAGAGCUCGCAUGGAAACGCGGCCCUCAAAGGAACAUACGCGAUGCGUAUGUGUAUGGUCACCUAAUCCUGAAGAGCUCCAGGGGAAAAGAAGGGACAGGCCAAAAGGCAAAUAACGAGGACAAACAAGGCUCUCGGGUCUAACUCCGGAUAAAUUCACAAACAG
Long non-coding RNA from Drosophila subpulchrella, 707 nucleotides. RefSeq lists it as uncharacterized. The record is from RefSeq and is a predicted model, not a curated record. The transcript is spliced from 3 exons. NCBI's taxonomy places the organism in Eukaryota, Metazoa, Arthropoda, Insecta, Diptera, Drosophilidae.